AUGCCAACAGGGGCAAGAGCAGGGAAGUACUCUAAACACAUCAGUAAACUAUGCUCUAGAUGCGGCAUGGAAGAGGAUGAUAUUCAUUUAUUCUUUACAUGCAAUUUUGCUAGAGCCGCUUGGUUCACUGCUCCCUGGUUUAUCCGUUCUGAUAUUCUAGUUCUAAACUGUAACUCUCUCACUCAGCUUCUUAUAACGUUCCUAAAUAUGAAUCAUCCACAUGCAUCCUUGCCAAACAUCCUUACCUUUAUGUGGUGCAUAUGGAAAUCCAGGAAUGAAAAUCUUUUUGAUAGGAAGCCAGGCAGCCCACACCAAGUUCAUCACAUGGCACAAGCAAUUAGACAAAAUAUGGAGAUGUUGGACAUGCCUCAGUUGGCGCUGCAGCAACAACUAAAACCGCGCAACAACAUUA
Molecule: ribosomal RNA, 412 nt
Filed under: Triticum aestivum (bread wheat)
Lineage: Eukaryota; Viridiplantae; Streptophyta; Magnoliopsida; Poales; Poaceae
Description: partial small subunit ribosomal RNA
Source: RNAcentral